Long non-coding RNA from Tympanuchus pallidicinctus (lesser prairie-chicken), 617 nucleotides. RefSeq lists it as uncharacterized. The transcript is spliced from 3 exons. Lineage: Eukaryota; Metazoa; Chordata; Aves; Galliformes; Phasianidae. The record is from RefSeq and is a predicted model, not a curated record.
GGACAGGGGAAGUAAAAUUCUCAAAGCAUUCAUGAAGAAAUCCAGAGCUUAGUGCCAUAUUCCAAAAAUAAAUCAGAAGAAUCUGUGUACAGGAAGCUUCUGGCUGCUGUUGCACAAGUGAGGAUGUCCCAAUGCUCAGCUCUUUCCCAAGCUUUCUGGCUCUGGAUGGAGGUGGGAGCUGCGGACUCAGGACUUCUAAAAAAAGAAAGAGACAUGGAGAAAGACAAUCACGCAAACAGGACAAAUAGCAGCCAGUGUAAGUCUGAGGAGCUGUGACGCAUCCCAGGAAAACUACAGAGCAAGCUUGGGUGAUGACAAUGACCAACCCUAUCUUUGACCUUUAGUCAGUCUUUAUAAUUAUUGUGAUUUUCUUUCAUUUUAUUGUGGUUUUUCAAAAUGUAUCUACACUGUACAAAUGUUGUUUUCCUCCGUUAAAAGAAUCCAAACAAACAAGCAAAAAACCAAGCUAAAAGUACAACCCCAAAGCUUGAAACUACAUAUUAUUCCUGGCCACGUUCAGAAGGCAGAAAACAAAUGAAGCUGACCGUGUUACUCUGCUGUUUCAACUAUGCCUGUCAAUCCAACAAAUGCCUGUUACUGUCUACACACCUACCCAG